AACGCAACUUGCGCUCUCUGGUAUUCCGGAGAGCAUGCCUGUUUGAGUGUCAUGAAAUCUCAACCAUUAGGGUUUCUUAAUGGCUUGGAUUUGAGUGUUGCCAGUCUCUGGCUCACUUUAAAGGAGUUAGCGAGUUUAACAAUGUCGUCUGGCGUAAUAAGUUUCGCUGGUAAGACUUGUGAAGUUUGCUUCUAAUCGUCUUCGGACAAUUACUUUGACUCUGGCCUCAAAUCAGGUAGGACUACCCGCUGAACUUAA
This 258-nucleotide unclassified non-coding RNA is filed under the name uncultured fungus. Its description in RNAcentral is "partial contains 5.8S ribosomal RNA, internal transcribed spacer 2, and large subunit ribosomal RNA". The stretch from base 1 to 52 matches the Rfam family "5.8S ribosomal RNA", at positions 103 to 154 of the family's 154-position model. The record is from RNAcentral. Lineage: Eukaryota; Fungi.